Molecule: ribosomal RNA, 496 nt
Filed under: uncultured bacterium
Lineage: Bacteria
Description: partial 16S ribosomal RNA
Rfam family: Bacterial small subunit ribosomal RNA
Source: RNAcentral
AUGAACGCUGGCGGCGUGCCUAAUACAUGCAAGUCGAGCGAACAGACGAGGAGCUUGCUCCUCUGACGUUAGCGGCGGACGGGUGAGUAACACGUGGUUAACCUACCUAUAAGACUGGGAUAACUUCGGGAAACCGGAGCUAAUACCGGAUAAUAUAUUGAACCGCAUGGUUCAAUAGUGAAAGACGGUUUUGCUGUCACUUAUAGAUGGAUCCGCGCCGCAUUAGCUAGUUGGUAAGGUAACGGCUUACCAAGGCAACGAUGCGUAGCCGACCUGAGAGGGUGAUCGGCCACACUGGAACUGAGACACGGUCCAGACUCCUACGGGAGGCAGCAGUAGGGAAUCUUCCGCAAUGGGCGAAAGCCUGACGGAGCCACGCCGCGUGAGUGAUGAAGGUCUUCGGAUCGUAAAGCUCUGUUAUUAGGGAAGAACAAAUGUGUAAGUAACUAUGCACGUCUUGACGGUACCUAAUCAGAAAGCCACGGCUAACUACGUG